Molecule: ribosomal RNA, 409 nt
Filed under: uncultured bacterium
Lineage: Bacteria
Description: bacterial SSU rRNA
Rfam family: Bacterial small subunit ribosomal RNA
Source: RNAcentral
GUGGGGAAUAUUGGGCAAUGGGGGAAACCCUGACCCAGCAACGCCGCGUGAAGGAAGAAGGCCUUCGGGUUGUAAACUUCUUUUACCAGGGACGAAGGACGUGACGGUACCUGGAGAAAAAGCCACGGCUAACUACGUGCCAGCAGCCGCGGUAAUACGUAGGUGGCAAGCGUUGUCCGGAAUUACUGGGUGUAAAGGGCGUGUAGGCGGAGCUGCAAGUCAGAUGUGAAAUCUCCGGGCUUAACCCGGAAACUGCAUUUGAAACUGUAGCCCUUGAGUAUCGGAGAGGCAAGCGGAAUUCCUAGUGUAGCGGUGAAAUGCGUAGAUAUUAGGAGGAACACCAGUGGCGAAGGCGGCUUGCUGGACGACAACUGACGCUGAGGCGCGAAAGCGUGGGGAGCAAACAGGA